RNAcentral lists this ribosomal RNA (253 nucleotides) under uncultured bacterium. Its description in RNAcentral is "partial 16S ribosomal RNA". It matches the Rfam family "Bacterial small subunit ribosomal RNA", at positions 524 to 776 of the family's 1533-position model. The record is from RNAcentral.
GACGUAGGUGGCGAACGUUAUCCGGAAUUAUUGGGCGUAAAGCGCGCGCAGGUGGUUCCUUAAGUCUGAUGUGAAAGCCCACGGCUCAACCGUGGAGGGUCAUUGGAAACUGGGGAACUUGAGUGCAGAAGAGGAAAGUGGAAUUCCAAGUGUAGCGGUGAAAUGCGUAGAGAUUUGGAGGAACACCAGUGGCGAAGGCGACUUUCUGGUCUGUAACUGACACUGAGGCGCGAAAGCGUGGGGAGCAAACAGG